AAGACAUGAAAAAAAACCCCAGAACACACCUAUCGUCACCACCCUGACAAAGAACGCUGCCAGCCCCGUCCUCAAUCUCAAUAGACGCUGCCCUGCACCACCAUCAGCCUAGCCGCCAUCGACCCCUUAAUCUGAACAACCAAGAACACCAGCGAAGAGACCCCCGUCGCCAGACCUCUCACGUCGCUGACCAACUCCACGCCGACGACCACUGACUUUAACGUCGACGACCAACUCCACAUCCCUCGUCAGCCAUUAACGAACCCCACCAGCACUCACUGAAAACCAGUCGCCCAACCCAUAACGCCGGCGACCACAGUACUGCGACAAAACAACACCUCACGGCGAAGCUCCAAAACUAAUUACUAUUUUCUCCAUAGAUCUGGACCUUAGAACUCUAGUAUUACAACUCAUUCUUCAAGGAAUAAUGCAACAACAAAGAUAGCAAAUUCAGCAGCCGUAGCUCCCCAUUUCACUCCCAAUAUUCCAAACAGUCACUGAUUUCAUGUUCAAAAUACGUCGGAGUCGAUCCAAGAAAUGCGCGGAGUUACGAGGUUUUCCGGCUAGUUUUCCAUGUUAUAGUCACGGUUCUGCUCGUUGAGUUCCGGAAUGGGAACUUUGGAUCCGUCAAUAGAAGGUCCAAUUCUUUCUUUGUUACUCCAUCUUUCUCGAUAUGAUGCGUGUGUCCAUGACUUAGUUCUGACUUGUGUAAUGUUCCUCUCUUUGGAAAUGAUCUGAAGUUGUCUCACUAGCACAUCUUAGUGAAUAUUCAGAAGUCAAAUUGGCCAUUUUAUUUAAUCACAGUGAUGGUUUGUGAUAAA
RNAcentral lists this long non-coding RNA (821 nucleotides) under Nicotiana benthamiana. Its description in RNAcentral is "long non-coding RNA (NBEN_LNC019810)". The record is from RNAcentral. Lineage: Eukaryota; Viridiplantae; Streptophyta; Magnoliopsida; Solanales; Solanaceae.